UCAGAUUGACACCCAAACACUCUGAAAUGUUCGUAUUGGAGCUUCCGGUCCGAAUGCCAAGCAGUACAGCAUGUCGUUUCCAAAUUUCUGGCAGAAUGAAUUGGGUCAUGGUGCUGUGUCUCUCACAGACAGUGUCCAACUGUCCAUACUAUACUGUUUAGUCAACAAAAUUUAAAAACAGGAAUGCGUGUGCGCAAAAUUUGUACUCAC
This is a long non-coding RNA of Octopus sinensis (East Asian common octopus), 210 nucleotides long. RefSeq lists it as uncharacterized. NCBI's taxonomy places the organism in Eukaryota, Metazoa, Mollusca, Cephalopoda, Octopoda, Octopodidae. The record is from RefSeq and is a predicted model, not a curated record. The transcript is spliced from 3 exons.